Molecule: long non-coding RNA, 668 nt
Filed under: Musa acuminata (dwarf banana)
Lineage: Eukaryota; Viridiplantae; Streptophyta; Magnoliopsida; Zingiberales; Musaceae
Description: long non-coding RNA (MACU_LNC000165)
Source: RNAcentral
UACUGCAGUCCUGACGAAGACGCAAGAAGUCCGAUGAUGAGACGGCAACGUUGGGUCGAUCAUCAUCCCUCGUUUUGGUUGGACUUGGAUGAAAUGUCUACAUCUGAUGUGAUAUCUCAUUUAAAUGCGUCGAUUACGAAGUAAAUCAAAUUUGGACUGUAGGAUUCAAUAAAUCUUAUGGGAAUGUGGCAAUCGAUCAAAUUAGAAUUCAAUUAGAUAUAAAUUCAAGAACAUAAAAUAGAUAUAAAUCCAAUUUAAUUAAGUGAUUAUUUCUCAAGAACAAAAGGUAUUAGAAAAAGGAUCCAAUCUUCUAUUAAACUCUAACAGAAGGGAAAAAAGAAAGAUCAAAUUGUACUUUUAAUACCAUAAAAUAGAAGGAAAAACAAUAAAAAAAAAAAUUAGGUAGACGUAAGAACAGGAAGAACCAAACAAAAACCUGAUAUGCUUCUGCGGUUGCCACUGUCCUCGAAUUGACCAGAGAACACCUCCUCCUGCGUUCUUCUCGUGUUUGUUAAAAUGGCGACAAGAGCUUAGAAGCCAUCCGUGGCGGAAGAUUCCAGGAAUGGGGCGCGUCCGUCGCUUCGCAGCACGGAAUAUUCUGCUCGCGUUGUAAUUUUAUCUUGUGAUGAGUGACUGUAGGGAAACGAGAGAAGGAUGGGAGGUUAUAG